This is a non-coding RNA of Myodes glareolus (Bank vole), 1910 nucleotides long. The record is from RefSeq and is a predicted model, not a curated record. NCBI's taxonomy places the organism in Eukaryota, Metazoa, Chordata, Mammalia, Rodentia, Cricetidae.
AGAAGAGGUCUGAAUUAGUUUGUCUUCUUCUUAUUGGGGCAAAAUAGCCCCCCAAAAGCAACCUUGGUACCUCAGGCUCACAGUUCGAAGGCACGCUUAAUCAGGACAGGAAAUCGCAGCAGUUGGAGUGAGAGGUGGCCGGUCACGUGGCAUCCGCCGUCAGGAAGAGAGAGAGAGAUGGAUGCUGGUGCUCAGCUCGCUUUCUCUUCUUUAUUCAGCCUAGGACUCCAGCCCCUGGAAUGUGCUGCCCACAUUUAGCGUGAGCCGUUCUGUGAACUCCCGGACUCGCACGGGGGCUUGUCUGCUAGGCGGCUCUAGAGUCGGUCAAGCUGGCAAUCGCUAUUAACCAUUACAGUAGAGUACGGGAAUCAGGCUUGUCACGGGGCAACACCUCUCACACCUCAUGUGGGAUCCGGAGGCUAUGACACCUUCAAGUCAUUGACAAUAUUCCCUACUUUCCACGUAAGCCUUUAGGCUUGAAAAGGCCAAUCUACGCCUGUAGAGCCAACUUCAUGGGAGUGAAACGCCCACCACCAAACUGCUUUGAAGAACCCCAUGGUUGCUGUCAUGUUCUGCUGUCACCACCUUGAAUUCCUCCUUAAUACUUGAACAGGGGGACUUCUCUGAACUGGGCCGAUGAUGUUACAAGGGGUUCUGGACGCCAGGGAUGAGCAGCGGGGUUCUAGGAGCUCACAUUCUCUGCCUUCUAAGUCUGCCCCUGGCAUCGGCAGAACCAUUAGCAAUUAGGAUUGAGGCGGGGCUGGAGAGAGAAUGCCUGCCUCACAGACAUGUUCUUGAAGCUCUAGGUCCAGUCUCCAGUACUGGCAAGUGAAGUAGGAACUGAAGGGGCAGUGUAGUAGCUUGUACAGUGACCCUGCCUUGUGCGUGCGUGCUUGUGUAUGUGUGUGUGUGUGUGUGUGUGUGUGUGUGUGUGUGUGUGAUGGUGGGAAGCUGGGCUAAUGAUUGCAUGCUUGGUCUGUAAUUGCAUUAGAGGGAUGGCCCCCUCCCUACAUGGAACAUUUGACUGGAUGGGGUAGGGAUGCUGGGUUGUGGGGGCAAGUUCUGUAUCAUCAGCUUUAAGCAGUCAGGAAGUCAGUCCUGCCCUAGGAAGUUCAGCCAUACUGGGGGUAGGAGGGACUUGGUCCCUCAAACGGAGGGAGGCGCUUAGGGCAGUGAUUCUGUUCCUUUCAAUUUGGUCCAAAGUUAAUGAUGUUCACUGUGUCCAAAAAUGCUACUCUUGGCAGCGUGAGGGAGGGACCACAGAGGACAUCACUGGGACAGCUAGGGAAACAGAAUUAUAUCUAGGCCAGUUUCCUUAGAUGUGAUCGUGGACUCUGUGGAACAUAGCACACACACCUGCGUGUGUAUAUGCAUGAACCACAGCACACAUGUGGAGGUCAAAGGACAACUUGGGGAAGUUGGUUCUCUCUUUACAUCAGGUGGAUCCCAGGAAUCAAAUUCAUAUUGUCAAGUGAAUUUGGUGGCAAACACCUUUACCCGCUGAGCCAUCUCACUGGCCCAAGAAUACUCCUUGUUCCUGAAGACACAGAGUGAAUGUAUUACAGGUGAUAUUUUAUGGUGUCUACAAUGGACUCGCAGGUUGUUCCGGGAGCACGCGCACACUUGUGUAGGUGCGUACGGAGACGAGAGGACAUCAGGUGUGCUGCUCAGGAGCUACCCACCGGGCUUUUGGGGACAGGAUCUCUCACUGGUCUGGAGCUCAUCCCUAAAGCUAGGCUAGCUGGCCUGUGAACUGCAGAGAUCUGCCCAUCUCUACCUCCUCAGUGCCGGGUUAAAAGUGCCCACCUCUGUGUCCAGCUUUUCAGUGGAGUUUCUGGGGGCUGAGCCCAGUUCUCACACCUGGGCAGCAAGCGCUUCAUGGUCAGAGCUAUUUCUCCAGCCUUUGGGUU